AGGUGGAUUUGUUUAAAAAGAGUCUUCUGUUGAUUCCUAUUCACCUGGAAGUCCACUGGUCUCUCAUUACUGUGACACUCUCUAAUCGAAUUAUUUCAUUUUAUGAUUCCCAAGGCAUUCAUUUUAAGUUUUGUGUAGAGAAUAUAAGAAAGUAUUUGCUGACUGAAGCCAGAGAAAAAAAUAGACCUGAAUUUCUUCAGGGUUGGCAGACUGCUGUUACAAAGUGUAUUCCACAACAGAAAAACGACAGUGACUGUGGAGUAUUUGUGCUCCAGUACUGCAAGUGCCUCGCCUUAGAGCAGCCUUUCCAGUUUUCCCAAGAAGACAUGCCCCGAGUGCGGAAGAGGAUUUACAAGGAGCUGUGUGAGUGCCGGCUCAUGGACUGAAACUCAGCAGGGACUCUGGGAAGUCUGACCAAAUUGGAGCAGAUGGUUUGUUACUUGAAUCUCCAAACACUUAUUUGAAUUUUUACAGAUAUUUCAGAUCAGUGGUGUUGGACCACUGUUGUUACCUCAAAUUUAUUUUUUGCCCUUAUUCAUUUCUCUAGUUACCAUGUACUAUUUUUUAAUGUUCAGUUUGGUUUCAUUUUUAAUUUUAUGGAUUCUGUGUGCCCCCCCAUAUUUAAUAUUUAUUAUCCAAAUGCAUGCAUAUAGACAGAGCAUGCAGUGCAGAGUAUAAAAAAAAAAAAAAGCCUAGUAGAUUCGGUGCAGCUUUUGAGAAAUAGUUAGGUGAACUGAAUACAGGUUUAAAUUUUGAUUCCAAAACCUAAAAAUGCAGGAUGUUUUUGAUACAGCAUAACUGUAAGAAUAGCAGAUGUUCCCUGGGCAUAAAGGAUAACUAGGAGGGGUUUUGACAAAGCCAGUCCUGUUUAAUUUUUACCGGCAGCACCUUUCACUGACUUCCCUCUUCAAGUGAGUCACAUUCCUUUUCAAGGGUGAAAAGGAAGUGGCCACAAACUGACUGGUAUGUUCUAUUUUGGAGGCACAGUUGUAAGCACAGUGCCUGCUUUGGGAUGAGUUGAAUAAGGUAUGAAAAAAAGACCGUGACCUUGGAGGUCUAGUUAUCUUCACACAUAAGAGAUUUCAGUCUUGAUUUUAAGAAGAAUUACAGUAAGUGCUUUAAUCUUAUAAAAGCUUUUGCUGGACCACUGAAUUUCCUGGAUUUUUCUGAUUUGGACCCAUUAAAAAAUUAAUAUUUGUCAAACUAGUGGUCAAACAAAUGAAAAUCCAGCCUUUCUAAGAGUAAUUUAUAGGCUGUCACUUCCCUUAUUCAAAACCGAAGACUGACUUCAGGUCUUUUGCAAGAGGGUCGGGAGGAGAGAACAGGAAAGGUAAUAAGAAGACUUGAUACUGUGGGAGUAGAGCAAAUGUUAGUUUUUUCCCCUCUUAUUAUGUGAUCUCAGCCACACACAGGGCUUCUUACCUGGCCUCUACUUGACCAACCCUGAGAUUCCAGCCUUUUUUUGCUUUCAUGAACUCCACCCUCUGGGGAAAGGCAAAAGUGGCCUUGUCCUUACCCUUAGCUGCGUUAGGAUUAAAGAAAGGGCUCUUGCAUCUUUAAUUUAGCCUUUUGUGAUAUUAGAAAUGAGAGGAAAUUAGGAAAGAUGCAUGUAAAACUAUCCAAUUAUCUCUCUGAACCGGGGUAGGAAAAACAACAAAUGCCUAUAUAAGAAACUCAGAGGCGUGGCAGAAAAGGAGUAAAGGGCAGAAGAUACUUGGAUUUAUGCCUAGUUAGGUUUGGGAUGUUGAAAAUAAAAAGCUAAACUGUGCAGUUGAACUUGGCCAUAAAGUAAGGCUGACUCCCAGCAGUUGAGGGUGGGGUCAGAACAUGUUUACAUGCAGGGUUCCCGUCCCCAGACAUUCCAAGCACCAACACCAGUGUUUACAUUGUAAAAUAGCCCUAGCACUUUCCUAGUCCCAGACGCAAAUCCCUUAGUAUAAAACCAGGUCAGUAUUUCUUACUGUGCUUCAGGUCAUCAAAAAGAUUGAGAUUUAGAGGCACUAUGUGCUGCUACGGGGAGGGGUUCUGUCAGCAUUGGGAAAGGUGACAAAAUGGGUUGGGUGUCUUCUUGAGAUUUCAGGCAUAAUUAUGCAAACAGAUUUUUCAAAUCUGUAUGUGAGACAUUUGCUUAACUUUUUGGGGGGUGGGGAGGGUAACUAGUAACUAGGCUAUUGAUUAAAAAUGUCUUAUACUUUAGAGCUGCAUAUCUCACUUCCUGACAGAACCAGGCAUACAGAAGAGACAGAACUGUGUUCUGGCAAAAAUCUUAAUGCUCCACAGCCUGAGUUGCUAUUUCAUCCAGUCAGAGAAACGGUCAUGCUGUCAGUAGUGAGAUAGAGAGCACCUAAAGAGAGCUGUCCCAAGUCCAGGGUCUCUUUCAUGUCCGGCUUAAUAGGGUACCUUGAGCCAUUGUUCAGCAUGCUUUAGCCUAAAUGUCAAAUACUUUGUCUGCUUAAAAUGUUUCUCUCUUCACGAAACUUGGUUUCUGAGCACAUAGCUGUUUCCCCUUCCUCCUCUUGUGAGGUGUGUAAACCUCUAUUUAGCCCAAGUUCUACAUUAGAAUGGCCUUUGUCCUGAUGUUUGCAAUACUGGCUUCCUUGCAACAGACAUUUUUGAAAUAUAGUCUGGGCUGUUGGUAGAAGAGACAUUGUUUUACUGUCACUAGCUUGGCACUGAAUUGUUAGGGUGCCCACAAGGUAGGCAGACCUUAUGCUUUAGGGGUUGAGGGCAGGCCUUGUACAAACUAAAAGCUGCUUAUGAUGUGCCUUCAACAAGCUGCUCAGUCCUCUCCAUCAGCAAACUUAGCAGUCUGUAGUUGCUUUUUUCCUUUUGUUAAGUCUAUAGUAAUGAAUGUAGAUUUAGUUCAAAUUUUAGUUAUGUUCUCUCAAGAGUUAGAGAACCAGCAUUCUCUUAAGGGAAAAGCAGCAGUUGCUGCCAGUAAUCCCCAGGUCAUUUUUUUGGUUUUGCAUUUUAUUUGCUACUUAUCAUUCAAUAUGAUUAACACUGGUCAUCUUGAAUUCAUAGUUGGAACAAAAUAACAGAUCUAACUGGGACACAGCCAGCACAGCACUAGCCCAAGUUGAGCUGCCCCUUUUCUCUGCAGUUGUGGUUUACUACUUCCCUGGGUUAGAAUAACUGGGACCCUUCAGGCAACCACCAGUGUGGUAACAAUGUGAAUAAGAUAUACUACCUGCUCUGCUUAAUUAUGUUAUGAAACUGAACUAAUCAGCAGUUAUAAAGCACAUACUCUUUGUUAUGUGCUGGCUCUGCCUCCUGGCCUGUAGAUAAUUAAGACCUAGGGAAUACCAUCAAAAGUGCUCACUGUAUUGGGUGUUAACAAAAGCAGAUCUAGACAAGCUGUCCACUUAAAUGGUACCUUUUGGUCAGAAAAAUUUAUUUAAAGAUUGUGAUCAUGUAAAAUUACUCAAACCUUCUAGCAAAAAUAUUUUUUUGAAAAAUAAAAUAAAUG
This 3469-nucleotide long non-coding RNA is filed under the name Sus scrofa (pig). Its description in RNAcentral is "lncRNA (ENSSSCG00015033596.1)". Lineage: Eukaryota; Metazoa; Chordata; Mammalia; Artiodactyla; Suidae. The record is from RNAcentral.